This 82-nucleotide transfer RNA is filed under the name Bursaphelenchus xylophilus (pine wood nematode). It matches the Rfam family "tRNA". Rfam says of the family: Transfer RNA (tRNA) molecules are approximately 80 nucleotides in length. Their secondary structure includes four short double-helical elements and three loops (D, anti-codon, and T loops). Lineage: Eukaryota; Metazoa; Nematoda; Chromadorea; Rhabditida; Aphelenchoididae. The record is from Rfam by way of RNAcentral.
GGCGAGAUGGCCGAGUGGUCUAAGGCGCUGGUUUUAGGCACCAGUCUCUCCGGAGACGUGGGUUCGAAUCCCACUCUCGUCA